Molecule: non-coding RNA, 49 nt
Organism: Ruegeria sp. TM1040
Lineage: Bacteria; Pseudomonadati; Pseudomonadota; Alphaproteobacteria; Rhodobacterales; Roseobacteraceae
Source: Rfam
AUGCCGCCACAACGGCUUCCUGGCGUGGCGGAUCUCAUCCAAUGGAGCA